GAUUUCUGACUUGGUGCGCGCUGUCCGUUGCGGUUACGUGACGUGUGCAGUAGCGCGCCUGUCAUACUUCUGGAUUUUGAUGUUGCCCUUCACUGGGUGAUGUCGCUAUCUAGAUCUUUUACUUUGAAAAAAUUAGAGUGUUUAAAGCAGGCUCGCGCUAUGAAUACAUUAGCAUGGAAUAAUAAUUUAGGACUUCUGUUCUAUUUUGUUGGUUUCUAGGAUGGAAGUAAUGAUUGAUAGGGAUAGUUGGGGGUGCUAGUAUUCAGCGGCCAGAGGUGAAAUUCUUGGAUUCGCUGAAGACUAACUUAUGCGAAAGCAUU
RNAcentral lists this ribosomal RNA (320 nucleotides) under uncultured Eocercomonas. Its description in RNAcentral is "SSU rRNA". The stretch from base 103 to 320 matches the Rfam family "Eukaryotic small subunit ribosomal RNA", at positions 736 to 955 of the family's 1831-position model. Lineage: Eukaryota; Cercozoa; Cercomonadida; Cercomonadidae. The record is from RNAcentral.